This 229-nucleotide ribosomal RNA is filed under the name uncultured bacterium. RNAcentral's name for it is "partial 16S ribosomal RNA". It matches the Rfam family "Bacterial small subunit ribosomal RNA", at positions 15 to 236 of the family's 1533-position model. The record is from RNAcentral.
GAUCCUGGCUCAGGAUGAACGCUAGCUGCAGGCUUAACACAUGCAAGUCGAGGGGCAGCAUGUUGGUUGCUUGCAACCGAUGAUGGCGACCGGCGCACGGGUGAGUAACGCGUAUCCAACCUACCCUUGUCCAUCGGAUAACCCGUCGAAAGGCGGCCUAACACGAUAUGCGGUUCACAGCAGGCAUCUAACGUGAACGAAAUGUGAAGGAGAAGGAUGGGGAGUGCGU